Vicia faba (fava bean) is the source of this 225-nucleotide non-coding RNA. Lineage: Eukaryota; Viridiplantae; Streptophyta; Magnoliopsida; Fabales; Fabaceae. The record is from the annotation of a GenBank genome assembly.
AUGCACCAUGUUCAGUACAAGUUCAAGACAACUCCAUUACAUGUUUAUCGCAGGGCAUUACAAAAUCCACAUAAUAUUGCCAAUGCAUCAAGUACUGCAAAAAGUGAAUUACAAGAUAUUUCAUACAAGGAUCCAUAUGCUAACUUAUCCUAUUUUAUGCCAAAUAUUAAACUCCAAUUGUCUUCUUUGAAGCAUGUCACCAUCAAUAUCCAAUCUGCACGAUAA